UACGUAGGGAGCAAGCGUUAUCCGGAAUUACUGGGUGUAAAGGGAGUGUAGGCGGGAUUACAAGUCAGAUGUGAAAACUGUGGGCUCAACUCACAGAUUGCAUUUGAAACUGUAGUUCUUGAGUGAAGUAGAGGUAAGUGGAAUUCCUAGUGUAGCGGUGAAAUGCGUAGAUAUUAGGAGGAACAUCAGUGGCGAAGGCGACUUACUGGGCUUUAACUGACGCUGAGGCUCGAAAGCGUGGGGAGCAAACAGGAUUAGAUACCCUGGUAGUCCACGCUGUAAACGAUGAUUACUAGGUGUGGGGGGACUGACCCCUUCCGUGCCGGAGCAAACGCAAUAAGUAAUCCACCUGGGGAGUACGGCCGCAAGGUUGAA
Molecule: ribosomal RNA, 375 nt
Filed under: uncultured bacterium
Lineage: Bacteria
Description: bacterial SSU rRNA
Rfam family: Bacterial small subunit ribosomal RNA
Source: RNAcentral